UGCGGGGCUAGGGCUAACAGCAGUCUUACUGAAGGUUUCCUGGAAACCACGCACAUGCUGUUGCCACUAACCUCAACC
RNAcentral lists this microRNA precursor (78 nucleotides) under Macaca mulatta (Rhesus monkey). RNAcentral's name for it is "Mml-Mir-744_pre stem-loop". RNAcentral also lists the same sequence under 3 other names. The record is from RNAcentral. Lineage: Eukaryota; Metazoa; Chordata; Mammalia; Primates; Cercopithecidae.